This 413-nucleotide long non-coding RNA is filed under the name Equus caballus (horse). RNAcentral's name for it is "lncRNA (ENSECAG00000051068.1)". The record is from RNAcentral. Lineage: Eukaryota; Metazoa; Chordata; Mammalia; Perissodactyla; Equidae.
UCUCUUUCUGUCUACCACGUAAGGACACAGUAAGCCAGGAAGGCAGUUCUCACCAGGACCCCAUUAUCCUGCCACUUUGAUCUCAGACUUCCAGCCUCCAGAAUUGAAUUGGCAGGGGGGCACUAAUACAUCUAAUAAUGAGAGUUUAUUGAGCCAAGUGCUUAAGUACUUUCCAGAUGCUAUUCUAAUCCUGAGAAAGAUUUUGCAAGAUCCAAUCCCUGGAACAGGACGGGGACUGUCGUCUUGCAGGUCCAGCACUCCCAAUCAGCGUCAGAGCUUAUUGCUUACUACAAAAUUGUAGCCUCGCCUAAAACCGCCAAAUCCUGGCAGGGGGAACACCAUGCCUGUCGAAAAUGCUUUCAUCUAAACAUUCUUGCACUGAAAGGUUGAGUGUUUCCUAGAGAGGGCUCCAA